GAUGAACGCUGGCGGCGUGCCUAAUACAUGCAAGUCGAGCGAACGGACGAGAAGCUUGCUUCUCUGAUGUUAGCGGCGGACGGGUGAGUAACACGUGGAUAACCUACCUAUAAGACUGGGAUAACUUCGGGAAACCGGAGCUAAUACCGGAUAAUAUUUUGAACCGCAUGGUUCAAAAGUGAAAGACGGUCUUGCUGUCACUUAUAGAUGGAUCCGCGCUGCAUUAGCUAGUUGGUAAGGUAACGGCUUACCAAGGCAACGAUGCAUAGCCGACCUGAGAGGGUGAUCGGCCACACUGGAACUGAGACACGGUCCAGACUCCUACGGGAGGCAGCAGUAGGGAAUCUUCCGCAAUGGGCGAAAGCCUGACGGAGCAACGCCGCGUGAGUGAUGAAGGUCUUCGGAUCGUAAAACUCUGUUAUUAGGGAAGAACAUAUGUGUAAGUAACUGUGCACAUCUUGACGGUACCUAAUCAGAAAGCCACGGCUAACUACGUGCCAGCAGCCGCGGUAAUACGUAGGUGGCAAGCGUUAUCCGGAAUUAUUGGGCGUAAAGCGCGCGUAGGCGGUUUUUUAAGUCUGAUGUGAAAGCCCACGGCUCAACCGUGGAGGGUCAUUGGAAACUGGAAAACUUGAGUGCAGAAGAGGAAGGUGGAAUUCCAUGUGUAGCGGUGAAAUGCGCAGAGAUAUGGAGGAACACCAGUGGCGAAGGCGACUUUCUGGUCUGUAACUGACGCUGAUGUGCGAAAGCGUGGGGAUCAAACAGGAUUAGAUACCCUGGUAGUCCACGCCGUAAACGAUGAGUGCUAAGUGUUAGGGGGUUUCCGCCCCUUAGUGCUGCAGCUAACGCAUUAAGCACUCCGCCUGGGGAGUACGACCGCAAGGUUGAAACUCAAAGGAAUUGACGGGGACCCGCACAAGCGGUGGAGCAUGUGGUUUAAUUCGAAGCAACGCGAAGAACCUUACCAAAUCUUGACAUCCUUUGACAACUCUAGAGAUAGAGCUUUCCCCUUCGGGGGACAAAGUGACAGGUGGUGCAUGGUUGUCGUCAGCUCGUGUCGUGAGAUGUUGGGUUAAGUCCCGCAACGAGCGCAACCCUUAAGCUUAGUUGCCAUCAUUAAGUUGGGCACCCUAAGUUGACUGCCGGUGACAAACCGGAGGAAGGUGGGGAUGACGUCAAAUCAUCAUGCCCCUUAUGAUUUGGGCUACACACGUGCUACAAUGGACAAUACAAAGGGCAGCGAAACCGUGAGGUCAAGCAAAUCCCAUAAAGUUGUUCUCAGUUCGGAUUGUAGUCUGCAACUCGACUACAUGAAGCUGGAAUCGCUAGUAAUCGUAGAUCAGCAUGCUACGGUGAAUACGUUCCCGGGUCU
RNAcentral lists this ribosomal RNA (1372 nucleotides) under uncultured bacterium. Its description in RNAcentral is "bacterial SSU rRNA". It matches the Rfam family "Bacterial small subunit ribosomal RNA", at positions 28 to 1381 of the family's 1533-position model. The record is from RNAcentral.